This 514-nucleotide ribosomal RNA is filed under the name uncultured bacterium. Its description in RNAcentral is "bacterial SSU rRNA". It matches the Rfam family "Bacterial small subunit ribosomal RNA", at positions 29 to 528 of the family's 1533-position model. The record is from RNAcentral.
AACGAACGCUGGCGGCGUGGCUAAGACAUGCAAGUCGAACGGACCGUUUAAUUGGGUAACUGAAAGAGCGGUCAGUGGCGAAAGGGUGAGGAAUAGAUAGGUAACGUACCCUGAACUUCGGGAUAGCGUCAUCUCGAGCAAUCGGGAUUUCCGAAAGGGGCAUUAAUACCGAAUGAUGUCGGCGGUUGCAGGACUGCCGAUCAAAGAUUGAUCGGUUUGGGAGCGGCCUAUCUCCUAUCAGCUAGUUGGUGAGGUAACGGCCCACCAAGGCGACGACGGGUAGCGGGACUGAGAGGUUGACCCGCCACAUCGGGACUGAGACACUGCCCGGACCUCCACGGAGGGCUGCAGUAACGAAUAUUGGGCAAUGGGCGAAAGCCUGACCCAGCAACGCCGCGUGCAGGACGAAGCCCCUCGGGGUGUAAACUGCUGUCAGGGGCAAGAAAGCCGCAAGGUUGAUCAGCCCCGGAGGAAGUCACGGCUAACUUCGUGCCAGCAGCCGCGGUAAACUCGU